UGCAUCGAUGAAGAACGCAGCGAAAUGCGAUACGUAAUGUGAAUUGCAAAUUCAGUGAAUCAUCGAGUCUUUGAACGCACAUUGCGCCCCCUGGUAUUCCGGGGGGCAUGCCUGUCCGAGCGUCAUUUCUGCCCUCAAGCACGGCUUGUGUGUUGGGCCCCGUCCUCCGAUUCCGGGGGACGGGCCCGAAAGGCAGCGGCGGCACCGAGUCCGGUCCUCGAGCGUAUGGGGCUUUGUCACCCGCUCUGUAGGCCCGGCCGGCGCUUGCCGAUCAACCCAAAUUUUUAUCCAGGUUGACCUCGGAUCAGGUAGGGAUACCCGCUGAACUUAAGCAUAUCAAUAAGGCGGAGGAA
This 353-nucleotide ribosomal RNA is filed under the name Penicillium glandicola. Its description in RNAcentral is "eukaryotic LSU rRNA". The stretch from base 1 to 125 matches the Rfam family "5.8S ribosomal RNA", at positions 29 to 154 of the family's 154-position model. The record is from RNAcentral. Lineage: Eukaryota; Fungi; Ascomycota; Eurotiomycetes; Eurotiales; Aspergillaceae.